Molecule: long non-coding RNA, 609 nt
Organism: Dama dama (fallow deer)
Lineage: Eukaryota; Metazoa; Chordata; Mammalia; Artiodactyla; Cervidae
Exons: 3
Source: RefSeq, a predicted model, not a curated record
CACAGAAAAUGGGUGAGAGGCUGGCAUGGUAGCCGUCCACCCCAGCCGGCCUCGGGUUGAUGACUGAGGGAGGCGCAGAGGGACUGAGCAGCCUGCCUGGAGGCCCAGAGGUGGGAAAACUGAGUCAAGAAAACGGAAAAGUCCUAAAGCCGUCUUAUUUGUGACCAGUUUGCAAGCGGCACCCGAAUUCCCUGAGACCCAGUCUUUGCUGCCAGUUUGGGUCUGUGAGUCUCUACUGUAGAAAACAGAUCUCUCCAGUGAGUUAGAAACUCAAGAAGGUCUCUUCUCUAUGUCUGCGUCUCCACUGCUGCCCUGCAAAUGGGUUUAAGAGAGUAUCUUUGAUCACCCAGAGGGUCCAGUAUAAUCACAGGGUCUCUGUAAGUGAAUGAUGGAGGCGGGAGGCUUAGCAUCAGAGGAGCUGUGACGAUGGAGGCGGAGGCUGAAGAGAUGCUCUUUGAAGAUGCAGGAAGGGACCGUGAAUCAAGAAAGGCACAUAGCCUCCAGAAGCUGGAAAAGCCAAGGAAGUGGGUUCUCCCCUAGAACCUCCAGAGGGGAUGUCUGACCUCUAGAACUGGAAAAUAAUAAAUUUGUUCUUUUUCAAGCCACUAA